Molecule: transfer RNA, 70 nt
Filed under: Byrrhinus sp. BYR01
Lineage: Eukaryota; Metazoa; Arthropoda; Insecta; Coleoptera; Limnichidae
Description: tRNA-Val
Source: RNAcentral
CAAAUUAGAGCUUGUUAGUAAGCUUUUUAUUUACAUUAAAAUGAUAAUUGUGCAAAUCAAUUUAAUUUGA